Molecule: ribosomal RNA, 1416 nt
Filed under: metagenome
Description: bacterial LSU rRNA
Rfam family: Bacterial large subunit ribosomal RNA
Source: RNAcentral
UUCUGAGCAGGGUUAGCCGGCCCCUAAGUCGAGGCAGAAAUGCGUAGACGAUGGGGACCACGUUAAUAUUCGUGGGCUUGGAGGUAGUGACGGAUCACGUGUGUUGUCAGGUCUUAUUGGAUUGAUCUGGCUGCGAAGUGGUUCCAGGAAAUAGCUCCUCCUUAUAAACCGUACCCGAAACCGACACUGGUGGACUGGUAGAGUAUACCAAGGCGCUUGAGAGAACUAUGCUGAAGGAACUCGGCAAAUUGCACGCGUAACUUCGGAAGAAGCGUGACCCCUAUGAACGCAAGUUUAUGGGGGUGGCACAGACCAGGGGGUAGCGACUGUUUAUCAAAAACACAGGGCUCUGCGAAGUCGCAAGACGACGUAUAGGGUCUGACGCCUGCCCGGUGCUGGAAGGUUAAGAGGAGGGGUGCAAGCUCUGAAUCGAAGCCCCAGUAAACGGCGGCCGUAACAAUAACGGUCCUAAGGUAGCGAAAUUCCUUGUCGGGUAAGUUCCGACCUGCACGAAUGGCGUAACGACUUCCCCGCUGUCUCCAGCAUAGACUCAGUGAAAUUGAAUUCCCCGUGAAGAUGCGGGGUUCCUGCGGUUAGACGGAAAGACCCCGUGCACCUUUACUAUAGCUUUACAUUGGCAUUCGUAGUGGCAUGUGUAGGAUAGGUGGUAGGCUUUGAAGCAGGGACGCCAGUUUCUGUGGAGCCACCCUUGAAAUACCACCCUUAUCUCUAUGGAUGUCUAACCGCGGCCCGUUAUCCGGGUCCGGGACAAUGUAUGGUGGGUAGUUUGACUGGGGCGGUCGCCUCCCAAAGAGUAACGGAGGCGCGCGAUGGUGGGCUCAGAACGGUCGGAAAUCGUUCGCUGAGUGCAAUGGCAUAAGCCUGCCUGACUGCGAGACUGACAAGUCGAGCAGAGACGAAAGUCGGUCAUAGUGAUCCGGUGGUCCCGCGUGGAAGGGCCAUCGCUCAACGGAUAAAAGGUACGCCGGGGAUAACAGGCUGAUGACCCCCAAGAGUCCAUAUCGACGGGGUUGUUUGGCACCUCGAUGUCGACUCAUCGCAUCCUGGGGCUGGAGCAGGUCCCAAGGGUAUGGCUGUUCGCCAUUUAAAGCGGUACGUGAGUUGGGUUCAGAACGUCGUGAGACAGUUCGGUCCCUAUCUGCCGUGGUUGUAGGAAUAUUGAAAGGAUCUGUCCCUAGUACGAGAGGACCGGGAUGGACGGAUCUCUGGUGGACCUGUUGUGGCGCCAGCCGCAUAGCAGGGUAGCUAUAUCCGGACGGGAUAACCGCUGAAGGCAUCUAAGCGGGAAACCCACCUUAAAACGAGUAUUCCCUGAGAGCCGUGGAAGACGACCACGUUGAUAGGCCGGGUAUGGAAGUGCGGCAACGCAUGAAGUUUACCGGUACUAAUAGCUCU